AUUAAGUUUACGAAAGGGAAUUUAGACACAGGAAUAUAUAAAAUUUUUAGAGUAGGAUAAGAUUUAGGGCUUGUUUGGUUCAUCCAUUUUGGGUAUGGAAUGAAAAUCGGUUUGAUCAAAUUCGGUUAAUUUUGUUUGGUUCGCAUGAAUCGAUUUGGGAUUCCUAUUACGGACUGGAAUGGGAAUAGCCCAUUAGACUUUAAUUUGAUUCCGGUCUUCUAGUCCGGAUUGAGAUUUUAUUCCGAAAGCCCACUAAAUUCUCGAAGUCUAUGUGACCAUCUCACCUUCCUUCUCUUCACCCCUUUCUCAUCAAAAAAAAAAAAAAAAACCUAUCAUCUCUCAAAACCCUAUCCCUAACCCACUUCAAUAAAAAUUUUUAAAAAUAAAUUUGAUAUUUUUUUUGAAAAACUUAUUAGAGAAUAAUAUUAUAUUUUUCAUAAAUUUUAAAUAAUAUAAAUUUAUAUUUGAGAGUAAAAUUAGUAUUAUAGUAUCCNGGAUGGUGGGUGGGGUUUGAUUUGGAUCCUGUCCACUUCGAGUUAAAUCCCCGCUUUGUGAUCUUAUCUUAUAAUAUUUUAGUGGGUGCGGAUCCUGUGGGAUUGGUAUCGGCACCAUCCGAAGCGCCCCCACAUGCAUCAUCCCAUCCUGUUGUCCCCCAAUUGCAACCCUAUUUGUACAUUCAAAAGCGAGUUACAUUUAACAUAUUAUCCAUCUAAAAGUUAAUUUCUGCAUGCUAGUAUUAUCACUUUAAUUCUUUUAGUACUUAUACUUUAAGGGCUUGUUUGGUUCAUCCAUUUUGGAUAUAGAAUGGGAAUCGAUUUGAUCAAAUCCGGUUAAUUUUGUUUGGUUCGCAUGAAUCGGUUUGGGAUUUCUAUUCUAGACUGGAAUGGGAAUGACACAUUAGCCUUCAACUUGAUUCCGGUCUUCUAGUCCGGAUUGAGAUUCCAUUCCGAAAGCCCACUAAGUUCUCGAAAUCUAUGUGACCAUCUCACCCUCCUUCUCUUCACCCCUUUCUCAUCAAAAAAGAAAAAAAACCUAUCAUCUUUCAAAACCCUAUCCCUAACCCACAUCAAUAAAAGUUUUUAAAAAUAAAUUUGAUAUUUUUUUUGGAAAACUUAUUAGAGAAUAAUAUUAUAUUUUUCAUAAAUUUUAAAUAAUAUAAAUUUAUAUUUGAGAGUAAAAUUAGUAUUAUAGUAUCCUACAAUUUUUUUAGUUUAUACGAACCAAACAAUGAAAUGUGAAUAACUCAUUCCAAUUCCCAAUCUACAAAUAAACCAAACGUCUUGGGGGAGUAAGCCAUUCCAAUUACCAUUCCAAUUCAUUCCCAUUCCAUUAUCCAUUCCAAUUCCACCCUUGAACCAAACAAGCCCUUAGGGUGCGUUUGGUUCGAGUUAUCUUGGCAGAAUUACAGGCAAUCCUGCCAGGAUAACUAUAUUUGGUUAAUCUGCUAUGUAAUCUAGUCGUUAAUGUAGCAUUACAAAUCGAGCAGGAUUACAUCGAAAAUAUUAACGAGAGGGGGGUCGUGAAUCUUGCAUUACUGAAACCCGUUAAUACUAUAUAUUAUGUAAAAUGACAAUUUCACCCUCCAACAACCCCAAAUCUAAUUAACAGCAUUAUUUUCAUCUCUCUCUCGCCUUCCCCCCUCUCUCUCGCACGCCGCUUUCUCUCGCUCUCUCUCUCUCUCUCGACGUCUCUCUCUCUAUCUCUCUCUCUCUCGCACGAACACCUAUCAUCUUCUUGCGUCGUCCUCCCAGGUAAUCAUCACAAUCUCCUUCUCUCCAUUCGUCAUUUCUGCAAAAAAUAAUAUUCAAAUGACCACAACAAGGGCAAUUUUAGAAAAAACUAUACUUUUAUGUCAGAAUUACUAAAUUUUAUAAACUGAACCAAACGUAUUAAUGCUAUAAACACCGUAAUCUAUUAUUACAUUACUGCAUUAAACCAAACGCGCUAAUGCAGCAUCAGUAGUAAUCUCACGCCGAAAUCUAAGAUACCUGGAUAUGUCGAGAUACUUUGUAAUAUUAUAUAACUCGAACCAAACGGGCCCUUAAGUUAAUCGAAAAAUUCUUCUUUUUCACCUCCAUCUGCUAUACGAAAUAAAUCAUCUAUUACUC
Molecule: long non-coding RNA, 2108 nt
Filed under: Ananas comosus (pineapple)
Lineage: Eukaryota; Viridiplantae; Streptophyta; Magnoliopsida; Poales; Bromeliaceae
Description: long non-coding RNA (ACOM_LNC000058)
Source: RNAcentral